UUCCUACGGGGGGCUGCAGUAGGGAAUUUUCGGCAAUGGGCGCAAGCCUGACCGAGCAACGCCGCGUGAGUGAUUAAGGCCUUCGGGUUGUAAAGCUCUGUUGUAAGGGAAGAACAUUCAGGAUAGGAAAUGAUCUUGAACUGACGGUACCUUACCAGAAAGCCACGGCUAACUACGUGCCAGCAGCCGCGGUAAUACGUAGGUGGCAAGCGUUAUCCGGAAUUAUUGGGCGUAAAGGGUGCGUAGGCGGUUUAUUAAGUCUAUGGUGAAAGUGCGGGGCUCAACCCCGUAUGGCCAUAGAAACUGGUAGACUUGAGUGCAGGAGAGGGCAAUGGAAUUCCAUGUGUAGCGGUAAAAUGCGUAGAUAUAUGGAGGAACACCAGUGGCGAAGGCGGUUGCCUGGCCUGUAACUGACGCUGAAGCACGAAAGCGUGGGGAGCAAAUAGGAUUAGAUACCCCAGUAGUCUC
RNAcentral lists this ribosomal RNA (468 nucleotides) under uncultured bacterium. Its description in RNAcentral is "bacterial SSU rRNA". It matches the Rfam family "Bacterial small subunit ribosomal RNA", at positions 336 to 797 of the family's 1533-position model. The record is from RNAcentral.